RNAcentral lists this ribosomal RNA (301 nucleotides) under uncultured bacterium. RNAcentral describes it as "partial 16S ribosomal RNA". It matches the Rfam family "Bacterial small subunit ribosomal RNA", at positions 509 to 807 of the family's 1533-position model. The record is from RNAcentral.
CAGUCGCCACGGGAAUACGUAGGGGGCAAGCGUUAUCCGGAAUUACUGGGUGUAAAGGGAGCGUAGACGGUCAAACAAGUCUGAAGUGAAAUGCCGGGGCUCAACCCCGGAGCUGCUUUGGGAACUGUAGAACUGGAGUGUCGGAGGGGUAAGCGGAAUUCCCAGUGUAGCGGUGAAAUGCGUAGAUAUUGGGAGGAACACCGGCGGCGAAGGCGGCUUACUGGACGACAACUGACGUUGAGGCUCGAAGGCGUGGGUAGCAAACAGGAUUAGAUACCCGCGUAGUCCCUGUCUCUUAUAC